RNAcentral lists this small nucleolar RNA (117 nucleotides) under Chlamydotis macqueenii (Macqueen's bustard). Its description in RNAcentral is "Chlamydotis undulata macqueenii Small nucleolar RNA SNORA5". It matches the Rfam family "Small nucleolar RNA SNORA5". From Rfam's summary of the family: ACA5 is a member of the H/ACA class of snoRNA that guide the sites of modification of uridines to pseudouridines. The record is from Rfam by way of RNAcentral. Lineage: Eukaryota; Metazoa; Chordata; Aves; Otidiformes; Otididae.
UCUUCUGUCAAAGGGCUGGGCCUUGUUGUGCUCAGCACCAUGUAAAAGGGGAACAAAAAGCUGUCUGGCCCAGGUAGCCCAUGGUUAAUUCUGGGAUAAAUCUAGUUCCAGACAUUG